RNAcentral lists this ribosomal RNA (233 nucleotides) under uncultured bacterium. RNAcentral describes it as "partial 16S ribosomal RNA". It matches the Rfam family "Bacterial small subunit ribosomal RNA", at positions 794 to 1032 of the family's 1533-position model. The record is from RNAcentral.
UCCACGCCGUAAACGAUGGUCACUAGUUGUUGGGUUUUAGGAUUCAGUGAUUAAGAGAAAUUGAUAAGUGACCCACCUGGGGAGUACGAUCGCAAGAUUGAAACUCAAAGGAAUUGACGGGGGCCCGCACAAGCGGUGGAGCAUGUGGUUUAAUUCGAUGAUACGCGAGGAACCUUACCAGGGCUUAAAUGUAGGUUGCAUUAGCUAGAGAUAGUUAUUUCUUCGGACUACUU